UAGCACCCACCCAAAAGUUGAUUUAAGAAUUAAAGGAAUGGGGGCCAGGGGUGCAAUGGCUGUGAUAGCAGCCUGGUUGGUAGUGUAGCAACCUAUUGCUUGUAUGGGUUGCCCUAAGGGACCUUGGAGACAGCC
RNAcentral lists this small nucleolar RNA (135 nucleotides) under Dasypus novemcinctus (nine-banded armadillo). Its description in RNAcentral is "Small nucleolar RNA SNORA70 (ENSDNOG00000029658.1)". It matches the Rfam family "Small nucleolar RNA SNORA70", at positions 22 to 135 of the family's 135-position model. From Rfam's summary of the family: snoRNA U70 seems to be exclusive to mammals and is a member of the H/ACA class of snoRNA which contain H (ANANNA) and ACA box motifs. H/ACA box snoRNAs are involved in the conversion of uridines to pseudouridines (5-ribosyluracil) a constituent of structural RNAs (transfer, ribosomal, small nuclear, and small nucleolar). The record is from RNAcentral. Lineage: Eukaryota; Metazoa; Chordata; Mammalia; Cingulata; Dasypodidae.